CCUACGGGUGGCAGCAGUGAGGAAUAUUGGUCAAUGGGCGCGAGCCUGAACCAGCCAAGUCGCGUGAGGGAAGACGGUCCUAUGGAUUGUAAACCUCUUUUGUCGGGGAGCAAAAGACGCCACGCGUGGCGUUCCGAGUGUACCCGAAGAAAAAGCAUCGGCUAACUGCGUGCCCGCAGCCGCGGUCAUACGGAGGAUGCGAGCGUUAUCCGGAUUUAUUGGGUUUAAAGGGUGCGCAGGCGGAAGAUCAAGUCAGAGGUAAAAGUGAGAGGCUCAACCUCUUCGAGCCGUUGAAACUGGUUUUCUUGAGUGAGCGAGAAGUAUGGGGAAUGCGUGGUGUAGCGGUGAAAUGCAUAGAUAUCACGCAGAACUCCGAUUGCGAAGGCAGCAUACCGGCGCUCAACUGACGCUCAUGCACGAAAGUGUGGGUAUCGAACAGGAUUAGAUACCCCUGUAGUC
This 459-nucleotide ribosomal RNA is filed under the name uncultured bacterium. RNAcentral describes it as "partial 16S ribosomal RNA". It matches the Rfam family "Bacterial small subunit ribosomal RNA", at positions 338 to 795 of the family's 1533-position model. The record is from RNAcentral.